RNAcentral lists this ribosomal RNA (207 nucleotides) under uncultured bacterium. RNAcentral describes it as "partial 16S ribosomal RNA". It matches the Rfam family "Bacterial small subunit ribosomal RNA", at positions 568 to 774 of the family's 1533-position model. The record is from RNAcentral.
CGUCUAGGCGGAUCGGUCAGUCGGCUGUGAAAGCCCCCGGCUUACCCGGGGAAGUGCAGCCGAUACUGCCGGUCUUGAGGACGAGAGGGGAGAGUGGAACUCCUGGUGGAGCGGUGAAAUGCGUAGAUAUCAGGAGGAACGCCGGUGGCGAAAGCGACUCUCUGGCUCGUUCCUGACGCUGAAGCGCGAAAGCCAGGGGAGCGAACG